AGUCUCGAGGUGAAAAUUAAUCAUACUGGUUUGCAAAACCGGAGAAGUGGCGAGGGCCACCUGACUU
Molecule: transfer RNA, 67 nt
Filed under: Pandalus borealis (northern shrimp)
Lineage: Eukaryota; Metazoa; Arthropoda; Malacostraca; Decapoda; Pandalidae
Description: tRNA-Cys
Source: RNAcentral